Molecule: transfer RNA, 72 nt
Filed under: Parcubacteria bacterium DG_74_2
Lineage: Bacteria; Candidatus Parcubacteria
Also listed under: 1 other name
Description: tRNA-Asn
Rfam family: tRNA
About the family: Transfer RNA (tRNA) molecules are approximately 80 nucleotides in length. Their secondary structure includes four short double-helical elements and three loops (D, anti-codon, and T loops). Further hydrogen bonds mediate the characteristic L-shaped molecular structure. tRNAs have two regions of fundamental functional importance: the anti-codon, which is responsible for specific mRNA codon recognition, and the 3' end, to which the tRNAs corresponding amino acid is attached (by aminoacyl-tRNA synthetases). tRNAs cope with the degeneracy of the genetic code in two manners: having more than one tRNA (with a specific anti-codon) for a particular amino acid; and 'wobble' base-pairing, i.e. permitting non-standard base-pairing at the 3rd anti-codon position.
Source: RNAcentral
UCCGGUGUAGCUCAAUGGUAGAGUAGCGGCCUGUUAAGCCGUGGGUUGUAGGUUCGAGUCCUACCACCGGAG